Molecule: non-coding RNA, 1967 nt
Organism: Nothobranchius furzeri (turquoise killifish)
Lineage: Eukaryota; Metazoa; Chordata; Actinopteri; Cyprinodontiformes; Nothobranchiidae
Source: RefSeq, a predicted model, not a curated record
UCACGGUGUGGGUCACAGGAGUGAUGUAAAUGGUCAGAAAUCAGGUCACUUCAUCGUCAUAACCCUCCCUUUAAGGCGGUAGUGUCUGCAUUCUGAUAUGUCAUUCUUAGUCUAAAGAGCCCCCUCAAAUGUCCCCAAAAAAGCUCCUAUACUUUUAACAUUGUCCAAAAUCCAAAAACUCUCCAUGUCCAAAAUGUGCGUAAGCCAGCUCCUUAGGUCAACUCAAAGUUGCCCACAUUUUCCCACUACUUUUUCCUUUAUAAAUCCCAAAGUUUGAAUGGCAAGUUACUUUUGCAGUUUUGCAACCCCAUUUUGUGGGUAAGCAAGCUUUAUAAAUGACACCCCAUGCCACUAUAAAACUUACUGAUGUACAUCUGCAGCAUGCAAGGACCAUUUACAGGGGUUGAUUUUAUUUGUCACAGUUUUCACCCCUUCAGAGUUUGUAGGUAUGAACGUUCUUGUUCUCUGCACCAUCACAGUUGAUUCAUUGGUUGAGCCCCAAUACAUAAAAAAUAAAUUAAAUGAACAGGAUAAAUAUUAUAUAUAUAAUGUGUGUGUAUGUAUGUAUGUGUGUGUAAGCUGUUGAAAUAUAUGCUCAUAUAUUUAUUAAUAAAUAUCUAAUAUAUACAUAUGAGACUCACAUGGUCAAGUGUGAUUUUAGUUUUCAGCAGAAACAGACUUUUUUGGGAGUGGGGGUGGGGAGUGGCUCUGCACCUGCACUGGACAGGGGAGCAAAAGUUCAUGAUGCAUUCAGGGAAAAUUGGUGUGUCCAACUAUACUGAAAUAAAAACAUCUAAAGAGGUUUAUUUGUGAAUGCUAUGAGUUUUCUGUAAAAUGAUUAUUGCUUAAAUAUUGCACAUGAAAUUAGCUCAUGCCUGAAGUCUGUUAAGACAUUAUCAGCUGGAAAACCCUAAAUUUUUAAUGUAUCAAGUUUGCAGUCUCAUUGUUCGUGAAAGCAGCAUGUGCAUUGUAGAUGGAAAGUACCGGAGCUGCCCUGGAUCUCUCCAACUUUGUCAGUCUUUGACUAAUUCUACAGAGGAAAAGAGGAAUAACUCCACAGCCCAAAAAGACAUGCAGAGCCAAUGCCCCUCAGGAGCUGGGAUUCCAGAGGAUUUCAAUGAGAAAGAGAAAACAGCAUCUUUCAAAAGAUAAAAGCUGAGAAACAAAAGCAAUGGGCUCGACCAAAGUUCUGAAGAUGAACCCACCUUGUGCACCCAAAGGCCUACAGGGAAAUCAAAGAAGAAGCAGACCAACAAAGGAACACCCACCCAUUCCCCUUCCCUGCUCACUGUCCAUGGUUUUACUCAAGAUCAUCCAGAUAUGAUGAGCCAAGAACCUUCAGGAGCUGAGUGGUCUAAGGAGUCAAAUGGAAAGGACAAAACAGACAUGGAUCAACAGGAUUUAACCUCUAAGAAAUUCAACCGAAAGAUUUGGAGCAAAUCUGGGAAAGAAGCGGUUUGGCAACAGCUUGGUCGGUACAUCACUCUUGAAAGAGUUCCUGGUAAAAUGCUGUGUGUGAAAGCACUCAGUACAGAGACAGCACUUUAGAACAGAAGUUGGGAAGAUGUAAAAAACUGCAUCUAUAACCACAUCCCUGAUCAAAAAAGAAAAAGGCUGUAGUUUUUGCGUUAAAAGCAGCAGGAGCUGAGUUAAUGCAUGUAAUGUUACAAGCAGAGCAUUUAAUGAUACCUAGUUAUUUUUAUUUUAUGAGACAUUGGAAAUAUGUUAAAAACUAUAAUUAUAACAGCAUUGCAGAUCAAAAAUGUUACAAGCAGAGCAUUUUAUGGUACCUAAAGAUAUUUAAAUUUUAUUACAUGUUGGAAAGAUGUUAAAAACUAUAAGUAGAACAGCAUCACAGUAGCAUUGCAGGGAUUAAUCGUUUUGACUAUUAACCCUGGUUAACCCCAAGUAAAUAGAUCUUCAACACCAUCAAACUAAAACAAAAAGACAAUAGCGUAACUCGUAAG